Molecule: transfer RNA, 81 nt
Filed under: Campylobacterales bacterium
Lineage: Bacteria; Pseudomonadati; Campylobacterota; Epsilonproteobacteria; Campylobacterales
Description: tRNA-Leu
Rfam family: tRNA
About the family: Transfer RNA (tRNA) molecules are approximately 80 nucleotides in length. Their secondary structure includes four short double-helical elements and three loops (D, anti-codon, and T loops).
Source: RNAcentral
GCGGAUAUGGUGAAAUUGGUAGACACGCAGGCUUGAGGGGCUUGUGGAGCAAUCCGUGCUGGUUCGAGUCCAGUUAUCCGC